This 253-nucleotide ribosomal RNA is filed under the name uncultured bacterium. RNAcentral's name for it is "partial 16S ribosomal RNA". It matches the Rfam family "Bacterial small subunit ribosomal RNA", at positions 524 to 776 of the family's 1533-position model. The record is from RNAcentral.
UACGUAGGGACCAAGCGUUGUUCGGAUUUACUGGGCGUAAAGGGCGCGUAGGCGGCAAUUCAAGUCAGCUGUGAAAUCUCCGGGCUUAACUCGGAACGGUCAGCUGAUACUGCUUUGCUAGAGUGCAGAAGGGGCAAUCGGAAUUCUUGGUGUAGCGGUGAAAUGCGUAGAUAUCAGGAGGAACACCUGUAGUGUAGACAGCUUACUGGACCACAACUGACGCUGAGACACGAAAGCGUGGGUAGCAAACAGG